AUUAGUCCUCGAUUAUUAAACUUGGACGGGAAACCAAUACAACGGUGAAAGAACAAGAAAGAGAACAUGACAAGUAACUCAAUACCAAACCUACCGUGAGAGUCUCGUUGUCCGUCACCGUCGGCGACCUGCUCCAGUUAGCGAAUCGAGUAAAGUUAAGGCUUAGCACGUGUAUUGCCGAAGUGUAGCUGGGAAUUAUUACGCAUUCAGAAGUAAUAAUUCCGCCACUCGUCGUCGCCUAAAACCAGAAAUUUUGCUCGGAGUCCGAGCCUCGGACAAGACGAAUUCGGCGGAAUUCUCACCCACCAGCGGAGAAUCCUCCGCUACUCGCCGUCGCCACCGUCUUCACCGCCGUCUUGGUGGAGAUUGAGGGAGACCCAGCAGUGCUUUUCGCUUUCGAAAAUUAUUGAUAGCGAGAAGCAGCGAGCCAGCGACAGCG
RNAcentral lists this long non-coding RNA (439 nucleotides) under Salvia miltiorrhiza (redroot sage). RNAcentral describes it as "long non-coding RNA (SMIL_LNC001117)". Lineage: Eukaryota; Viridiplantae; Streptophyta; Magnoliopsida; Lamiales; Lamiaceae. The record is from RNAcentral.